Molecule: transfer RNA, 83 nt
Filed under: Vibrio mediterranei
Lineage: Bacteria; Pseudomonadati; Pseudomonadota; Gammaproteobacteria; Vibrionales; Vibrionaceae
Description: tRNA-Asp
Rfam family: tRNA
About the family: Transfer RNA (tRNA) molecules are approximately 80 nucleotides in length. Their secondary structure includes four short double-helical elements and three loops (D, anti-codon, and T loops). Further hydrogen bonds mediate the characteristic L-shaped molecular structure. tRNAs have two regions of fundamental functional importance: the anti-codon, which is responsible for specific mRNA codon recognition, and the 3' end, to which the tRNAs corresponding amino acid is attached (by aminoacyl-tRNA synthetases). tRNAs cope with the degeneracy of the genetic code in two manners: having more than one tRNA (with a specific anti-codon) for a particular amino acid; and 'wobble' base-pairing, i.e. permitting non-standard base-pairing at the 3rd anti-codon position.
Source: RNAcentral
GGAGUGGUAGUUCAGUUUCAGUUGGUUAGAAUACCGGCCUGUCACGCCGGGGGUCGCGGGUUCGAGUCCCGUCCACUCCGCCA